CUACGUGCCAGCAGCCGCGGUAAUACGGAAGGUCCAGGCGUUAUCCGGAUUUAUUGGGUUUAAAGGGAGCGUAGGCUGGAGAUUAAGUGUGUUGUGAAAUGUAGACGCUCAACGUCUGAAUUGCAGCGCAUACUGGUUUCCUUGAGUACGCACAACGUUGGCGGAAUUCGUCGUGUAGCGGUGAAAUGCUUAGAUAUGACGAAGAACUCCGAUUGCGAAGGCAGCUGACGGGAGCGCAACUGACGCUUAAGCUCGAAGGUGCGGGUAUCAAACAGGAUUAGAUACCCUGGUAGUCCGCACAGUAAACGAUGGAUGCCCGCUGUUGGUACCUGGUAUCAGCGGCUAAGCGAAAGCAUUAAGCAUCCCACCUGGGGAGUACGCCGGCAACGGUGAAACUCAAAGGAAUUGACGGGGGCCCGCACAAGCGGAGGAACAUGUGGUUUAAUUCGAUGAUACGCGAGGAACCUUACCCGGGCUUGAAUUGCAGAGGAAAGAUCCAGAGAU
RNAcentral lists this ribosomal RNA (504 nucleotides) under uncultured bacterium. Its description in RNAcentral is "bacterial SSU rRNA". It matches the Rfam family "Bacterial small subunit ribosomal RNA", at positions 501 to 1007 of the family's 1533-position model. The record is from RNAcentral.